RNAcentral lists this ribosomal RNA (483 nucleotides) under uncultured bacterium. RNAcentral describes it as "partial 16S ribosomal RNA". It matches the Rfam family "Bacterial small subunit ribosomal RNA", at positions 30 to 507 of the family's 1533-position model. The record is from RNAcentral.
AUUGAACGCUGGCGGCAGGCCUAACACAUGCAAGUCGAGCGGAUGAAGGGAGCUUGCUCCUGGAUUCAGCGGCGGACGGGUGAGUAAUGCCUAGGAAUCUGCCUGGUAGUGGGGGAAAGGUUCCGAAACGGGGGCUAAGACCGCAGACGCCCGGAGGGAGAAAGUUGGGGAUCCUCGGACCUCACGCGAUCAGAUGAGCCUAGGUCGGAUUAGCUAGUUGGUGGGGUAAAGGCCUUCCAAGGCGACGAUCCGUAACUGGUCGCAGAGGAUGAGCAGUCACCCUGGAACUGAGACACGGCCCCGACUCCUACGGGAGGCAGCAGUGGGGACUAUUGGACAAUGGGCGAAAGCCUGAUCCAGCCAUGCCGCGUGUGUGAAGAAGGUCUUCGGAUUGUAAAGCACUUUAAGUUGAGAGGAAGGGCAGUAAGUUAAUACCUUGCUGUUUUGACGUUACCAACAGAAUAAGCACCGGCUAACUUCGUG